RNAcentral lists this long non-coding RNA (3935 nucleotides) under Sus scrofa (pig). Its description in RNAcentral is "lncRNA (ENSSSCG00015040334.1)". Lineage: Eukaryota; Metazoa; Chordata; Mammalia; Artiodactyla; Suidae. The record is from RNAcentral.
CUGUGGUAUAUGGAGGUUCCCAGGCCAGGGAUCCAAUCAGAGCUGUAACUUCGGCCUACGCCACAGCCACAGCAACGUGGGAUCCAAGUUGCGACUGCGACCUACACCGCAGCUCACGACAACGCCAGAUCUUCAACCCACUGAGCGAGGCCAGGGAUCUAACCUGCGUCCUCAAGGAUGCUAGACGGGUUCAUUAACUGUUGAGCCACAUCGGGAACUCCAACACUUUAAUCAUUUUUAAGUGUACAGCUCUGUGGCAUUAAAUACAUUCAUAUUGUUGGAUAACUAUCAACACCAUCCAUCUCCGGUAAGGCCAUUUACAUUUACCUGGUGUGAAAAUUAGCCUUUGAGUACUUUCUUAUCAGGAAUUAAUUUCAACUGGUUAGGUACUAUAUUGUGACAGAGAAAAAGAUCGCUAUAGUGUAUUGGAAUCUGAACCAGCCCCUCGUCUUAUUAAAGUUCUAUGAAGUUAUAUUUCCUGUUUAAUUAGAGUAACAGCUAUAUUCCUCUUUUCUCCAAAAAAGUACAGCAGUGGCACCUGAUCAAAUAGUGAUUUUUAAGACAGUGAAUGCUCGGAGGGGCACUCUGCUAAAUAUUUAACAUGCAUCAGCUCAGUAAGCUUUGCAACAUUUAAUCAUCAUGUCCCUAUUUAUUUUUUGGGGGGUGGGGGAGUGCCGUACCUGCGGCUUAUGGACGUUCCCAGGCUAGGGGCCGAAUGGGAGCUGCAGCCGCUGGCCUACACCACAGCAACAGCAACACCAGAUCCGAGCCACAGCAACACGGAGUCCUUAACCCGCUGAGCAAGGCCAAGGAUGGAAUUCUCAUCCUCAUGGCUACUACUCUGGUUCAUCAUCUCUUGAGCCCCAAGGGGAACUACGAUCAUGUCCCUACUUUACAUGUGAAGGGAACUGAGAUACAUAUGGAGGUUAGAUAAACAGUAAAGGUUCCACAAGUGGCAAGGUGUGGCGAUGAGUUUCAGCUUCCUGAAACUAACUUGGUUCACCAAGUUCCCUACAGCAUCCGCAUCCCCUGAGAAGCUGUUAGAAAUGCAAAUCCUGGAGCUCCUGCUGUGCAAUGGGAUUGGAGGUGUCUUGGGGUGCAACAAGCCCUCCGGGUGCCUGGGGAGCCUGUUAAAGUUGAAGCACGUUGUGCUCAUCACUGUCUCACUGCAUUUCCCCUUCUCAAGCCUCUUUUCUCCUCUGUCAAGUCCCAUCAAAUGUUCCAGACACACAAAGUCUCCAUUUUUGUGCCCCACCUAAGCCUAGCCUCCCAGAAGUUGCCCCAUUCUUCGAACUGACUUCUCUCCUUCCUCUUUUCUGGUCUGUCUUCCUGCCGCUGAAGACGCCUCUCUCCUGGAACUGGUUUCUGCUAUUAUUUAACAGAAGAGCAAUCCUACCAGGCUUUGAUUCAUUUGCUCAUUCAUUCAAUACAUAUUUACAGACCCUCAUAAUAUUUUAGAUGCUUUUGAGGAAGUGAUCCAGGUAUUUGGGUUAUAUUCAUGAAUAAAAGACAAAGAUAACUGGCCUCCUGCAGAUCUCAUAAUGUUACUGAAAAUGAAGAUAUUUAGGUCGUAUGCUAGACAUGUGGAUUUUUCAGGUGUGACACACGACCCUAGAACCCGCAUUUUAUCAAGCAUUGCAGGGGCUUCUGAUGCCUGAAUUCUGUGAAAACAUGCUCUGAAGUAGUUUGAUUAGCAGCACACAGUAAUUCACUCGGUCCUUCUAGGUUUUCCUUUGUUUUCUUUCCACAUUGGGGUCUAUGCAGGCAGGGGUGGGAUAUGAAAAAGGAAAGAUAAAAGCUGAAGCAACUGAAGCAGAACUUUUUCACCUAGGGAAAAUUUCUCAGGUUUUCUAGGACUAGCUCUGCAGAAAUCAUAUCACUUAGCUUGAGCCCUGGCUGAUGAGGUUGACAGAUGAUAACGAAUGUCACAAAGAGGUAAAGAGGCAAAGGUGGCCCUGUAGCCCAUGCACUGCCAGCCAGGUCCAACAGCUGCUGGUCAGACAUGUGUGGCCUGCUGGGCCAUGACCUGGGCAGUCUUUUCCGGUUUUCCAAAAUCAACACCUUUAAUUCUGAGUGGUAGUUUGGAAUCAUUUUCAAGUCAUCUUGAUAUCCUCCUCUUUCCUAAUAAGAACAAGACCAGUUUGUUUAACAUUUCCUCAUACCACAGAUUUUUUUCACGAGACCUCACCCACUCCCAGACAAUAACAGCAUCCUUCCCGUGGGUUGGUGACCAGGGCCGUAUCUAAGAGGUAGAAUAGCGUUCUGCACAGCUGCAUUGUCCCAGCCUCCUCUUUGUUUCAGCUUCUUCUGCUGAGAUAACCUUGAACACAGGGAAAAUAUUUCAACUGUCCUCUCCCUUUUCCAAGAUGCCUCCCAAAUUCCUGCCUGGUGUCAAGCCCUGUUCCAUUAUUCUGUUUAGAAGAUAAUGUGGACUCACUGUGCACCCAGAGCAAACAGGAGGCACCAAAUGGUCCACAGGGGAAGUUGCCAUAGGAGGGGCAGGGGCAGGGGCAGGCAAGGCUCUAUCCCAGCCUGCUAGAGUCCAGACUAUAGGCCAGAGGACAAAUGAAGUCAGCAAUCUGAGCUGGAAGUGGCUGUCACAGCAGCCAGGAAUUAUGUUCUUAAAACACGCAAGACCAAAGAUCUAUUCUACUCAGAACAACAGGUACCAACUCCAAAGGUUCUACCAAGGUACACAGCAGGGGGUAGGACGCUUCUGAGAUACAUAGUGUAGGUUCACUAAUCUAAUUCCUGCAACUGGGCCAUCUCCCUCAGUUCUAAUGAAGAUUCUAAAAAAGAGCUUCUUGACCACACAAAUUCUGCUCCCAAGGGACAGCUGGUAAUGUCUGAUCAUGGCCAGAGAAUAGCACCAUGUGUAUAGAAGAUGCUAAAUAAAUAUUUAUUGAAAGGAUAAGGGACUAAAUGGUACCCAGGAAUGUUUUGUGGGAGAACAUGACUGUCCUUGUUCUAAACCUCAAAGACUAGAAAUGAUAUCCCCAAACACUCCCUAAAUAACACAUUCUGGUCACCUACGAAAUAUAUUUACGUUUCAUCUCAUGUAUCUUACAGUUCUAUUUUCAUUCGGCCUACUACCUCUUGGGAUUAUUAGAUUAAGUAUAUAUUAUAUUAAGUAAUCUUAUUAUGUAACACAGAACUACCUUUUAUUUAUUCUAAUGCUAGCCUUUCUAAACUCUAAAAUUUAAACCAGUUCUUGUGUCCUAGGAUUGUGACUGGCUUCCAGGCUUGUAUUUCUUUCAUACAGCCUUUAAAGAUUUUGUCUCUUUGGAAUCACAGUGUUUUAGCGUUCUUGGUUUGUCCUCAUACAGCAUUUACUCACCGACGACAGGUCAGAAUGACCCACUCUCCUCCUUCCUGGUACCCAGAAGGCCCGCCAGAGAAGGGAGCAAUCUGGCACGUCCCCGGGGACAUCUGAUCCAAAGCCUCCUUAUCACACUUCACUGGGCUGUUCUUCUUACCCUGAGUGUCAGCAUGCACUUAGGGGCUGGCUGUGAGGAGGCUGUAGACACCCUGGUCCUGUGGAUUCAAGCUUCAGUGUUAUGUAACCCAACUUCAGAAUUCCCAAUGGUCAGAUCAGCAGUUAGACUGAGCCAUGAAGGUAGCCAAAAGCACCAGUACACUGUGAUGCACCCAUGGUCUAUUACCCAGACCUAGCCUUGCUCUCACUUGGGCAAUGGGCAGGCCUGUGACUUCUCUGAAAAAGAGAAUGAGAGGAUCUAUGGUAACUUGAAUUUCAGUUUGGGUGAGUGAGUCACUUAUUGCACACUCCUGCACUUCCUCUCACGGAAUAUUCUAGAAGGAUGACUUUGGGAAACAGAAACAGCUAUUCCCGCUAAUCCUUCUCAUACCCUAGCAAGUCAGAGUACCUGUUCCCUCAUUCAACAAGCAACCAAACACCAAGGAGGGUAUGACAGAUA